AUUGAACGCUUGCGGCAGGCCUAACACAUGCAAGUCGAACGAGUGGCGGACGGGUGAGUAAUGUCUGGGAAACUGCCUGAUGGCGGGGGAUAACUACUGGAAACGGUAGCUAAUACCGCAUACCAUCAGAUGUGCCCAGAUGGGAUUAGCUUGUUGGGAGUGGAAGGGCUAACCAAGGCCACGAUCCCUAGCUGGUCUGAGAGGAUGACCAUGCACACUGGGUCUGAGACACGUUCCGGAAUGCUACGGGAGGCACCAGUGGGGAAGAUGGGACAAUGGGCGGAAGCCUGAUGCGGCCAUGCCGCGUGUAUGAAGAAGGCCUUCGGGUGGUAAAGUACGUUCAGCGGGGAGGCGUUACCCGCAGAAGAAGCACCGGCUCACUCCGUGAGUGCAGCCGCGGUAAUUC
This 406-nucleotide ribosomal RNA is filed under the name uncultured bacterium. RNAcentral's name for it is "partial 16S ribosomal RNA". It matches the Rfam family "Bacterial small subunit ribosomal RNA", at positions 30 to 526 of the family's 1533-position model. The record is from RNAcentral.